Molecule: long non-coding RNA, 389 nt
Filed under: Lathyrus oleraceus (garden pea)
Lineage: Eukaryota; Viridiplantae; Streptophyta; Magnoliopsida; Fabales; Fabaceae
Description: Pisum sativum (pea) long non-coding RNA (PSAT_LNC019264)
Source: RNAcentral
UCACUUGAUCUUAAAACCCUAGUUUUGUGGGACACUUUGGUGUGAGUUUAUUUAUGGGACUUUGUGCUUGCUUUAGGGUGAUCUUGGAAAACCUAAUUCAUGAAUAUUUGGACUAGUUGGUCAUUGAGGGUUGAUUCAUCCCUUGCCCAUGGUUUAGGGGCUUGAUAUGUGUUUCCUGAUACUUUGAUCUAAUGCUUUGUUUCAUCCAAGUUUAUUCAUGCUUUCAUUUAUAGGCAUAGUCAUUUGAUUCAUUGCUUGUGGUGCAUUCAUAUUCAUACUUUCAUAAUGCAUCAGCUAUUUCUUAUUGUGGAUUUACUAGUUCAUGAUUUCAUUUGCAUCUAGGAUCCAUGGAACCUUAGUCCAUUAUUGCAUUCCUAGGCCAUGAUUCC